Molecule: ribosomal RNA, 433 nt
Filed under: Parcoblatta pensylvanica (Pennsylvania wood cockroach)
Lineage: Eukaryota; Metazoa; Arthropoda; Insecta; Blattodea; Blattellidae
Description: partial 12S ribosomal RNA
Source: RNAcentral
UACUAUGUUACGACUUAUCUCGUUUUAACAUUUCUAACGAGAGCGACGGCGAUGUGUGCAUAUCUUAGAGCUAAAAUCAAAUUAAUAAUCUUCAUAAAAUUACUAUUAAAUCCACCUUUAUAUUAAUAAUUAAAAUUAAUAAUCCGUAUAUUUAUAAAUAUUGUAAUCCACCACCACUUAAUUAUAAACUGCACCUUGACCUGAAAAAUUAUCUAAUAAAUAUUAAAAAAAUUUUACUCUAAAAAGAUUUUCAACAACGGCGGUAUACAUAUUAAUAAAUCAAGUAAGGUCCAACGUGGAAUAUCGAUUAUGGGACAGAUUCCUCUAAAUAGACUAAAAUACCGCAAAUUCUUUAAGUUUCAAGAUCAUAUCUAAUACUACUUAAGUUUAAUUUAAUUAACACCCAAAAUAUAAGGGUAUCUAAUCCUAGUUU